Molecule: long non-coding RNA, 983 nt
Organism: Mus pahari (shrew mouse)
Lineage: Eukaryota; Metazoa; Chordata; Mammalia; Rodentia; Muridae
Exons: 3
Source: RefSeq, a predicted model, not a curated record
UGAGAGGUUUAAUUUAUAAAGGACUUUAAGUCCCACUUUUUUAAAAAAGGAGAAUGUUUGGUAUAUUCAUUUCCAUCUCUGGAGGAGCUGAGUACAGCUGUCCUUUCCAAAGUCUACGAUGGGUUCUCUGUGCAUAGGUGCCUGGGAGUUGAUGCUGCAUUGAGACUCUGAAAAGAGCAGACUCUAGUGAUCAGAGGGAUGGAUGGGGCAGUGAAGAAGGCUAGCAAUAAGGGUGGGUCGUGUUUGUAAGGGGUGGUGGAGACACAGGAAUGUGGUCUUUCUCCUGCUGGUUUCUCUCCUGUUCCAGGGACAGGGCCAUCCUAGUGCCUGGAAAACAAGGUGGAGCCGGUACUGGAGGGACUUAAGCAACAGACUUCUAAACAAAAGCCUGAAGCUGACUCAUCUUCUCCCGGGGUCCUGCUGUCAUCAUCAGUCCUGUAGUGAUUAGACCCGAGCUCUGCUGACCCUCUGGAAUUCCCAGUUCAAUUGAAAGGUAUCCAGUGCCUCUGAUACAGAAGUGAAUUCAGAGUGUGUCAGACAGAACUUCAAAAUGGCCUCCCAUGAACUUUAACCUGCUGUUACUCCUCUGAUUACACCAUUACACUAUGUGGUAUGGUCUGAAAGUGAACCAACCUCCACGUGGCGUAGUAUUCUUGGACCCCAGCUGGUGAUAAAAUUUGAGAAGGCUGGUAAUAGAGUCAAGGAGUUGCAGAGCACAAGGAGAACUUGACUCAGCUGUGCUGGCUUGAAGGAGGAAGAACUCUGAGGCAGAGAAACUUCUAUGAGAUAAAAGAUGUUGUAUAGAAACAAAGACCCUGAUUGUACAGCUUAAAGAAACAGAACAGCAUUGAGACAACAGCCCAAGAUACCUGAAGGACAUUUCCCUGACCUCUAGAGAAGUCUAGAUGUCUGACAUCUUGAUUUUAGCCUGUAGAAUCUAGGCAGACAACCUAGGUGGGCCCUCCUGAAUUCAGAACUAUGAG